GACGAACGCUGGCGGCGUGCUUAACACAUGCAAGUCGAACGGAAAGGCCCUGCUUGCCGGGUACUCGAGUGGCGAACGGGUGAGUAACACGUGGGUGAUCUGCCCUGCACUUCGGGAUAAGCCUGGGAAACUGGGUCUAAUACCGGAUAGGAGCCAUUUUUAGUGUGAUGGUUGGAAAGUUUUUUCGGUGUAGGGUGGGCUCGCGGCCUAUCAGCUUGUUGGUGGGGUAAUGGCCUACCAAGGCGGCGGCGGGUAGCCGGCCUGAGAGGGUGGACGGCCAAAUUUGGGCUGGGAUACGGCCCAGACUCCUACGGGGAGCAGCAGGGGGGAAUAUUGCACAAUGGGCGGAAGCCUGAUGCAGCGACGCCGCGGGGGGGAUGACGGCCUUCGGGUUGUAAACUCCUUUCGCUAGGGACGAAGCUUUUUGUGACGGUACCUAGAGAAGAAGCACCGGCUAACUACGUG
This 465-nucleotide ribosomal RNA is filed under the name uncultured bacterium. RNAcentral describes it as "partial 16S ribosomal RNA". It matches the Rfam family "Bacterial small subunit ribosomal RNA", at positions 28 to 507 of the family's 1533-position model. The record is from RNAcentral.